AAACUUGAGAGUUUGAUCCUGGCUCAGAACGAACGCUGGCGGCAUGCCUAACACAUGCAAGUCGAACGAACCCUUCGGGGUUAGUGGCGCACGGGUGCGUAACGCGUGGG
This 110-nucleotide ribosomal RNA is filed under the name Sphingomonadales bacterium. RNAcentral's name for it is "partial 16S ribosomal RNA". It matches the Rfam family "Bacterial small subunit ribosomal RNA", at positions 1 to 121 of the family's 1533-position model. Lineage: Bacteria; Pseudomonadati; Pseudomonadota; Alphaproteobacteria; Sphingomonadales. The record is from RNAcentral.